AUGAAAGCACACGUCAAAGAAGAAGAAAAAAAGAGAAAUUGGAAAAGGAAUACACACAUUCUCUUGAUCUUGAAGAAAAAUUAUGAAUUCCUUGCUUUCUCCUGAUCCGUCUGCAGACGAAAUUGAUCAGGUCGCAAGGAAUUCAUUUUUCUUCAAGAAGAGAAUGUGUUAUCUGGAGAUUUAAAAUUUUCCUUUACAAUUUUAUUUAAUGAUGGCAUUUCUCUUCGAGGCAUCAUUAAAAAGGAAAAUUGUAAAAAGGAAA
This 262-nucleotide non-coding RNA is filed under the name Prorocentrum minimum. Lineage: Eukaryota; Dinophyceae; Prorocentrales; Prorocentraceae. The record is from RNAcentral.